This 253-nucleotide ribosomal RNA is filed under the name uncultured bacterium. RNAcentral describes it as "partial 16S ribosomal RNA". It matches the Rfam family "Bacterial small subunit ribosomal RNA", at positions 524 to 776 of the family's 1533-position model. The record is from RNAcentral.
UACGUAUGUCGCAAGCGUUAUUCGGAAUCACUGGGCGUAAAGAGUUCGUAGGCGGAUCAUCAAGUCAGAAGUGAAAUUUUGGGGCUCAACCCCGAAACUGCUUUUGAAACUGUUGAUCUUGAGUAUGUGAGAGGAAGAUGGAAUUCCUGGUGUAGCGGUGGAAUGCGUAGAUAUCAGGAAGAACACCGAUGGCGAAGGCAGUCUUCUGGCACAAUACUGACGCUGAGGAACGAAAGCGUGGGGAGCGAACAGG